UUGCAUAAAUUCGCUCUGCACCAUUUUGCCCGCGGGAUCUCCUCUGUAUCCGGCUGACACUGAAGUAACGGCAGCGCUUCCCGGCUGCAUGCCACCUCCGGAAUCCGAGUGCACGACCGAGCCUGAUGAGGAGAGAAUGCUGCUGCUGGCCAGUUUGACGCGCUCCUCCCUCUGCGCCGGAGACUACGCGAGUGUUUACGUUCAGCCUGGCGUGCGCGAACCUUCCGCAUCCUUCAGCCAAUCAGGACGCGGAGCUCUGCGCACGACCGACGCUCAUUGGCUGUCUCCUGAGCGAGAGGCAGAUCUCCGGGACGCGGAGCAGAAGCGUCACGUCAAAACAAUUUCUAAACGUGCACUUGAGCUUAAAGAGCAACAAAACGCAGAGGAAUAUAGGGGGUUGUGUCUGAAGUGGGGUCUGCUAACUCGAAAAGAAACAGUGACACAGUUUGCACCAACACUGUUAGGAUCACAAUUUUAUUUUUUUUAAGACGAGCUCACCAAAAAUAUAUCUGAACACACAUUUACUUGGUUUAACAGUUUAUUCUAACAGCAAAACUAAACUGCUGAAUGAAAUAAUUCUCAAAUUAAAUCUGUUAAGGUAACUAUUAAACAGAAUUAUUCCUUUAAAAUUAAACUCAUAAUAAAAAAUAUUUCUACGAUUCAUUUAUUAAAAAAUGUUUAAUUAAAGCAAGCUGGUGUGCGCUUUAACCACCUAAAUAUAAUAAUUAUAUUUCUACUGAAGGAGCACCACUUUGUAUUUUUUUAAACAAUUUAAAAAUUACUUACAAAUAAAAAUCACAUUUCUCUAUUUAUAUACGUUGACCCACAAUAGAUUCACGUGGUUUAAUUAUCCUAAUUAGCAUCCUUGUCAACAUCAAGAUUUCCUUUUUAUAUCUAAUUAUUUAAUAACACAGAGAAAAGUUUGCGUGAUGUCAAAAGAGCAGAUUGAAGAAUCGCCCUGGAAAGUGAUUCCUCUUGAAAAAGAAUGAUUUUUGAUUUGAUUAAUGAUUUCUGUUGUUGUUGUUGUUGUUUAUGUGUGAAGCCUGUAUUUGUACAGAACUGUAGGAUUUCCUCUUCCAGAAAGUUGAGAGCUGUUGUUUCCAGAGCAGCGAGGAUAGAGGGACCCUCCUGCAUAACAAGCAACUAGUAACAGUUAGUGCUGAUUUUAAUUAGCAUAAAUUUUCAUAUAUUUAAGGGAAAAUAAUAGCGGAGGGGAGCAGAGCAGGACUCAGUAGAGAGAGGAGAGAAGUGAGCUCAAACAGAAAGCACCGAGAGCAACGCCUGGAUUCACUGCCGCAACUCGGAGAGAAGAUGUUCAACAACACCGAUUUUACUAUUCAACUGUAACCAUUCUCUCUCUCUCUCUCUCUCUCUCUCUCUCUCUCUCUUACCAAGAAAAUUACCACUGAAAACUCUUCUUUGUGGAUGUGUGCAGCCAGCUGGCCGUGAUAGCCAGCACUGCCCAGGGACUGCAGAGUGCCAAGCUGGCAGAGGGAGGGCAGCUCUGGGGCAGAGAGGACUGGCAGCUCCAGGCCUCCAGGGGGGACAGAGGAGCAGUGAGCCCAUGGAGCAGUAACCUGCCCCCUGGGGGGAGAAGGGGAGGAGAUCUCAGCUGGGUGGAGAGCUCAGCCUGCCUCUCGAGGGCAUCUCGCUGCUCUUGCUACAUUGCUGUCAUCUUGACCCACUGACUGCCCGUCGAUCCUGGCGCCGUGCCAAGCUGUAAUGGCAGGCCGCACACAAAGGCACUCUGCCAGUGUCCUGCUGCAAGUCUGUGACUGGCAAUGAAUAUAAAACAGCUAUGUUUGUGUGUGUGUGUUCUCAGGCUGUUUGUGUCUUAGUCCAUUAAUCCAGCUAGGCUAGAUAUCUGUGUAUGUCACUGUGAAUGGCAGUGUGAGCCAAUAUUUUGUAGGUUUGGCGAUGUGGGCAUCUACUAACAUCCAAACGUAGUAUGUUAGACUCAUUUUCCUUCCUGGAAGACUAAAGCCGAUGUUAUACUGGAGCAGUUGUGCCCAGCUGAAUAUCAACUAUGACACUGAAGUUCUGUCAUAAAUACAGUACUGUGCAAAAGUCUUAGGCACAUGCAAAGAAAUGCUGUAGAGUAAAGAUGCCUUCAAAAAUAAUGAAACUAAAUAUUUCUACAUUAAAAAAUACUAUAAAGAGCAGUAAACAGUAAUUAAUGAAACAAAUCAAUAUUUGGUGUGACGAUCCUUCACUUUAAAAAAAAAAAAUUGCAGUCUCAGGUACAAUUAGUGCAGUUUUAUAUGGAAAUGAGCUGUAACUGUUACUGAGAAUCUUGCAGAAGCAGCCACAGUUCUUCUGGAGACUUUGACUGUCACACUCACUUCUUAUUUUUUGCAGCAAAACCCAGCAGCCUUCAUUAUGUUUUUUUUUGUCUGAAAAGUGUCUCUUAUGUAAUCUGCUGCUUUCUUUACUGACAUACAAACAUUUUUCUGUAACAUUUAAUUUUUUGCUGGAAAACUAAUGUUUGGAAAUCUAAAAUGAUUUAUACUGAAUCAAUAAUGUAGAAGUCAUAAAAUAAAAAUCUAUAACAAAGUUUGUACUAAAAGAAAAUAGGGUGCCUAAGACUUUUGCACAGUACUGUACUGUAUGUGUGCCAUAGCAACGUAUCAAGCUUUCAUUACAACUCUGCACCAACGUAUUUUAACUAAGCUAACCUCUGCCACUCGCUAUUUGAAUAAGACCGAUUGACAUAAAUCUACAUAAACAUUUAUAAAGAUAUCUUCCAAAAUGCUUCAGCCGUCAUAAAGAAUGCUUAAUUAAUUAAUGUAAUUAAUUUGUAUUUAAGUUAAUUUUUACAUCAAGUUGACAUGGCAGGUUGAUGUUAGUGACAUAUAGUUAGUAUAAUGCUGUGUUAUGACACUUUCUGAACUGACAUUUUGUUUUCAUGGCCCCUAUAAGUAAACUGUGUAUUUCAAUAUUCUUAAGAUUUUUUUAAACUUUAUGACAAAGUCAUGAUUCUGUCAUGGCAGAGUUAUGUAGAUUUUUCUGGCCCUAAAUUAGAGUAUGUCUGAGUAUGUCGUGAUCAGCAUUGUGAAACUCCUGGAAGAACAGCAAGCAACAAAAUCAUGUUAACAUAAAUCAGUAUUAUAAAUAAGUGUCAUAACACAAUCUUAUGUCAACGAUGGCAUCAGUGUCAUCUGACUCAGACGUUAUGUCAACCUGACAUCAAAAUUGAUUUUAAAAAAAGCAGUUCUUGUCACAGCUGAUUCCUGUUGGAAAGAAAAAGCUUUAUACAUUUGAUAUAAAAUUUAUAUGUUUUUUGUUUUUAUAACAUUUUAGUAUUGGACUAUUUACUCUGCUAAGGUGAAGCAAAAAUGUUUGUGGAUUGCCUGAUGUGGUUUUGAACACAAAGUAGUCCUAAUGUAAGCUAGCUGAAUUUUUUCACUUGUGACUGACAAGCGCUAUUAAUAACAAUUAAAAAAUUAUUAGUAAUUAGUGGUAAUUUUGUUCAGAAAAACGAUACCACAGUCCACCCUCUUGUUUCCUGUUGGUUCAUGUUUACUAGAUUUAUCAUGGAGUUAUAGUACCCCUAGAUGAGCUAGACAAGAGACAAUAAUAAUGGCUUUCUGAAGCAAAUUCCCUCACAUCCUUUUACAUUUAAGUUAAUGAACUUUUUCAGCAGUCAGAAUAUUUUUUCAUGUUAAAUCUGAUCACUGUUUUAUCUAGAAGCUGAUAGAUAGAAGCUGAAUUGGUUCUAAAAGUGAGGAGCAUUGAAACUAAUAUAUUGAAUUAUACUGUACUAUAAAUUAAAAACACAUUGCCAUUAGGGAAAUUAUUAUCAAAUACGUAAAAAUAAUAAUAAUAAUAAUAAUUCAAGACAUGUAUAUGUCUGGGGAAAAAGCAACUAUCUUUACCAAUCAAUGAUGAGGGAUCACAUGUGACAAACACAGACACACACAGGUGUUAAGUGCAAGCUGAAUAUCAUUUAAUAUAUUAAAUGAAAUUAAAAUUAAAUUAAUAUAUAUUAAACUUAUAUUAUUAGUGUAGGUAUUGGAUACUGUUGUUCCCAUUUGCCCAUAUGUCUAGACGUCCCAGUACCCUCCUCCUUCUCAUUGCCAUUCUCUUGAUCUCUGUGUGACCACCUUCCCUCCAUGAUAGUACGCCAUUCUGCCAGAAGAGACCAGUUGUUUUGACUUGUCCUAAACUAGUUUCCACAAUCUCUCACCUUCAACUUUCACUACCGAUUAUUUAAUUUCAGUUGCUCCUCCAUCUAUUGGAGUGUUUUGUCAGAGGGAAAUAGAGAAACACAGUAAAUGUGGAAUAUGCAGUGUAACUGUAGAACAGCAUAACCACUCUGUUGCACUAAGAUUGCCAAAUUAAUGAAUACUGUGAUGUCUCCAUGUGUGUGAUGUGAUGUGCUGGCAUUCUACUAGAAAUACAGUUGAUGCAAAAUUAA
Pangasianodon hypophthalmus (striped catfish) is the source of this 4417-nucleotide long non-coding RNA. RefSeq lists it as uncharacterized. NCBI's taxonomy places the organism in Eukaryota, Metazoa, Chordata, Actinopteri, Siluriformes, Pangasiidae. The transcript has 3 exons. The record is from RefSeq and is a predicted model, not a curated record.